UACGAAGGUCCCAAGCGUUAUCCGGAUUUAUUGGGUUUAAAGGGUGCGUAGGCGGGCUAUUAAGUCAGUGGUGAAAGCCCCAAGCUUAACUUGGGAACUGCCAUUGAUACUGAUGGCCUUGAGUACAUUUGAGGUGGGCGGAAUGUGUCAUGUAGCGGUGAAAUGCUUAGAUAUGACACAGAACACCGAUUGCGAAGGCAGCUCACUAAACUGUAACUGACGCUGAGGCACGAAAGCGUGGGGAGCAAACAGG
This 253-nucleotide ribosomal RNA is filed under the name uncultured bacterium. RNAcentral's name for it is "partial 16S ribosomal RNA". It matches the Rfam family "Bacterial small subunit ribosomal RNA", at positions 524 to 776 of the family's 1533-position model. The record is from RNAcentral.